RNAcentral lists this ribosomal RNA (442 nucleotides) under Clostridium perfringens. RNAcentral's name for it is "bacterial SSU rRNA". It matches the Rfam family "Bacterial small subunit ribosomal RNA", at positions 138 to 596 of the family's 1533-position model. The record is from RNAcentral. Lineage: Bacteria; Bacillati; Bacillota; Clostridia; Eubacteriales; Clostridiaceae.
GUGGAAUAGCCUUCCGAAAGGAAGAUUAAUACCGCAUAAUGUUGAAAGAUGGCAUCAUCAUUCAACCAAAGGAGCAAUCCGCUAUGAGAUGGACCCGCGGCGCAUUAGCUAGUUGGUGGGGUAACGGCCUACCAAGGCGACGAUGCGUAGCCGACCUGAGAGGGUGAUCGGCCACAUUGGGACUGAGACACGGCCCAGACUCCUACGGGAGGCAGCAGUGGGGAAUAUUGCACAAUGGGGGAAACCCUGAUGCAGCAACGCCGCGUGAGUGAUGAAGGUUUUCGGAUCGUAAAGCUCUGUCUUUGGGGAAGAUAAUGACGGUACCCAAGGAGGAAGCCACGGCUAACUACGUGCCAGCAGCCGCGGUAAUACGUAGGUGGCGAGCGUUAUCCGGAUUUACUGGGCGUAAAGGGAGCGUAGGCGGAUGAUUAAGUGGGAUGUG